Molecule: long non-coding RNA, 2494 nt
Filed under: Mus musculus (house mouse)
Lineage: Eukaryota; Metazoa; Chordata; Mammalia; Rodentia; Muridae
Description: long non-coding RNA chr12:33260215-33262709
Source: RNAcentral
AUGGAUUCCAAAGUCGGCCUGGGCUGUGAAGUAUGGAUCCAGACAAACUUCAAACUUACAGAGAAAGUUCCUCCAUCUUCUUUAUCUUUUAUCUUUUCAAAAACAGCAUAAAUCUUUUUAUGUUUUAUUCUCUAUGUGUAUACACACAAUAUAUAUAUACAUAUAAUACACACAUAUAUAUGUAGUGUGUGUGUGUGUGUGUGUGUGUGUGUGUGAAGGUCAGAAGACAGCUUUCAGGAGCCCUUCCUUCCUCUCCUGCUCUCCUGCCACAUGAAUUCCUGGAAUCAAACUCCAGUCAUCAGGCUUGACUGUAAGCACCGUUACUCGCCGAGCCAUCUCACUUCUCGGUGGCCCGUUAUCUUUUUUCCCUUCUAUAUAAUAAUUUCACAAGCUCUAUGUUCUUAACUAAAUUUAUUUUUAUUGGCUAGUACCUCAACCACAAAGCCCGUAUAUAUUAGUAAGAGUUUGAUGUGUUGAUGCAAGCCAUCUUUGAUCACUGAGUGAAUGGUUGAACUCUGAACCCAAGAUAAGGAGAGGCAGAGGCAUGCGAGAAUCCAGCAUUUGGCUUUCUCGUGUUCUGUGAGCAGUGCUGGUUAGUGCUCAGAGUCAGCAGCAGGAUUCCUGCCCCUCAGGCCGAGGUCAGAUGUGCAGAAAUGGACCUAAGAGGUUAUUAGUACACAGGUGCUGCGUGGGGCCAAGAACUAAGGGGCGAGAACAGCUUCCUCACACUGUCCAUAUCGUGGCCUCUUUGGAGUGGACAGACACAGACUCCAGAUACCACACACAUCUCUCCUUUGCAGCCUGGGGAUUGCACAGCUGUGUAGUGUGAAGUAGAGGAAAGGGUGCCUAGAAUCCAGAGCCGGCCCCAACACUGGCUGGUGGAGUUAACCUGAGACCCGUCUGAGUGUGACUAUCUUCUAGAAGGAUUCUGUUAGGUGGUCUCUCAGAGCCCCGCCAUUGCCUCAUCUGACAUGAGGAGUGGGGUGAGAUUCCGUAGGAUCCUGAUCCAGUGUUCACGUGGAAAACUGAGAUGCUGAACUCGAGGGAACCAGGAAACUGGUCAUCCAUGGGUCAUUCUCCUUCAGGGAACAAGGGCACUUAAAAUUAUACGACAGUAAUCCAAACACCGCUUCCUCAUAUGUGCACACACGUGGGUGUGUCUGAUACAUCACCUGUUUAUUUUCUCUGAACUGCUUCAGAGUAAGUUUCAGGUAUCAUAUCUAUUUACUUAUUAAAUAUUUGAAUAUGAAUACCCUAAAAUUAACAGUAUUUCUUUUAAAUAACAAUAAAAUCAUCAAAAUCAGGAAACUUUUCAUUUCCUCAAUUUUAUAUUGUAACAAUGUCACAAACCAAAAAAAGCAAUUUAAAUCCGGAAUUAUGCUGCAUUCAGCUGUCAUGUGUCUUUUGUCUACUAUGCCGCUCCUGGCCUUAACACUUUGGAAAGUUACGAGAGCCAGGGAUGCUAUAAAGAGAUCCUCCAUUGUUUCCCUGAGUAGUUUGUGUUUCCCUUGGGUUCAGGGUAUCCGUUUGGGAGGUGAGGGGAGGCUUCUGAGAGUGAUAAGACCUAAGGCUGGAAAUGUAGAAAGUUCUGAGGAAGAAAAGACAGGGAGGGAAAAGCAGCCCAUUAGGCUUGCACUGGGCAGCAGAGAUACCUGAACAAGCCGGACAGAGGCUCCCUCGCCCUGGGCACAGCAUAUUUGAGUACAUGCUAAGCAAAUGGUAAAAUCAUCAAAAUCAGGAAGGUAUAAUACCCUAAUCCCAAGACUAGGGAAAAAAUAGAGGGCCCUUUAUAGCAACCCCUGCCUUGUAAUGUUCCGAAAUAUUAAGGCCAGGAGCGGCAAAGGAGAAAGUGGAAGGUCCCUUUCCCCAGCAGAUUUUACUCUUCUAGUUGUAUCGACUGUGUCUAAUAGAUCCUUGCUCCUGCACAGAGCCUCUGCGAGCCAGGCUGUCCCCACGGGCCCUUGCAUAUUAUCCCUCGGUGACUCAGAUAGUCAUCGUUCUCGUUUUAGAAAUGGGAAAAUUGAGGCCCAGGAACACAGCCUCCUUGUGCAGUGGCACCACUGACGCCAGGGUCUGCAGCCCCCGCUCUCUACCUCGCCGUGUGGUUUGAGACCCAUUCACAGGCUUCCUCCUAAGUCACCCUUCACUCUGCUCCAAACAAGACUUGAGUGGAGACGCUGCUCUAUUUUCCACUCGAGUCAGCGGUUGAUACUUGAUUAAUAUUUGGGAUUGCUGUCUCGGAGAACAUCAUUUUCACAGAUGCAGAGACCAAUUUUGCUGUUACCGAGGCAGAAAGAUCCAUUUCCUCCCAGUCAGCAAGCAGAUUUGGAGGGAGUUGUCACCACCAGAAUAUUCGCAGCAGGUCCUGAAAGGAAGCAGAGCCCCCCGCCCCCCUUGGCACUGUAAGCAUCGAUAGUUGGUGGGUCAGAAGUCCCCAGCACCCAAUAUGGGGGCCACUUGCCACAUUCUAUGAAUAGCCAUUGGCUUUUAAAUU